RNAcentral lists this ribosomal RNA (242 nucleotides) under uncultured bacterium. RNAcentral's name for it is "partial 16S ribosomal RNA". It matches the Rfam family "Bacterial small subunit ribosomal RNA", at positions 15 to 254 of the family's 1533-position model. The record is from RNAcentral.
GAUCCUGGCUCAGAUUGAACGCUGGCGGCAGGCCUAACACAUGCAAGUCGAACGGUAACAGGAAGCAGCUUGCUGCUUUGCUGACGAGUGGCGGACGGGUGAGUAAUGUCUGGGAAACUGCCUGAUGGAGGGGGAUAACUACUGGAAACGGUAGCUAAUACCGCAUAACGUCGCAAGACCAAAGAGGGGGACCUUAGGGCCUCUUGCCAUCGGAUGUGCCAGAUGGGAUUAGCUAGGUAGGG